GCGUGUGGGGCUGCGCGUGAGUGCAUGCGUGUGAGCUUGUGCUUGUGCCUGUGUGCUGGGCACGACUGUGCGCGCCGGUGCUCACCUGUCUCUGCACGGGCACAUGCACACACUGCCUUGUGGAGGCGCUUCGGCGUUAGGGAUCCCUGUGCUUCUGUGUACCUGGGUUUCUUUGCAUGGGGGGGACACAUCCCCUAGGCAGCAUCAUGGGCAUGUCGUGAGUGACAGACGCAUAUCUAAGUUAGCAUGCAAGAUUAGAAGCACAAGGGCGUCCUGGAGGAGUCUGAAGUGCGCUUCUAACCGGAUUCACAUGUUUUUCCACGCGCCGCUGAACAGAAUGUACCUUUGUGUCAGCAUGAGCUGAAAAGGGAAACGCAGCCUCUGGAGCUGGAGUGGGACUGUGUGGAAUUCUGGAACAUUUCUCACGCUCAACCACAGCCUGUUGAAGCUGGGAAGCGCUUUGGAUAUUUUUCAGUCCAGCCCUUUGUCUAACAAAUGAGGAAACUGAGGCCCCCCAAAAAAGAGGCUAAGCUUGCUAUCGCAAGUGCUCUGUACUUUCCCUACUUAAUCCUCUCAAUCGUUUGAGGCAGGUGAUAGUAAAUCCCUUUUACAGACAAGAAAAGUGAGGCCUGUCGCACCAGAAGAAAAAGGUAUCAGCAGGGAUUUCCGCCCACUCUGCCCAGCUUCAACGUUCACGGUCGUCCUUCCAUGCACGGCUCUUCCAAGUGUAGCCCUGGGAGCCCGGGGGUCCUUGAGAACCUUUCAGGAAGUCUCUGAGGAACCCAAGACCUUCACUUGGUUGGUGUGAGCACUCCAGGAGGCAGGCACCCUCCCUCAGCCCUCAAGCAAGCAAAAAUGGGUUUAAAAAAGAAGGAGAAGAAGCAGCAGCAGCAGCCGCCACAGAGCUUGUGACAGCUGCAGCCUAAGGGCAACAGGCAGGGGAGACCAAGGACCAGAAAGAGCAGAGGCUUUUUCAAAGAAAGAGACCCCUCUCCCAGCACCCAGCGAUGGCGG
Molecule: small RNA, 1014 nt
Filed under: Pan troglodytes (chimpanzee)
Lineage: Eukaryota; Metazoa; Chordata; Mammalia; Primates; Hominidae
Description: processed transcript
Source: RNAcentral